CAGGCAGAGUGGAUGGCCAGUGUGAGGUCCUGAGGCAAGAACCUGCUUGGCUGAAAACAGCAAACCUGCCCCUGUGGCUGGGGCAGAGUUUUAGGAGAUGACAGCUGAGGGGAAACUGGAACCAGCUUUUGUAGGGCUUUAUGGACCCUGUGACAGGAUGGCCAGAGCUGUGUACAUGCCACCAGGCAUCCCUCUCCUGUGGGAGACUGUGUGAUCUGCAAACCCCAGAAUUUGUAUAACCUGGAAUCCCGGGACCUUGGAAAUAUGAUCUAUGACCUGCCCUGCUCGCUUCAUCUCCCUUAAGAACUGGACAUCAACAUCAUUAUUUUGAGAUGGUACAAGGGGCUCACCUGGAUGGAGGUGAACACCCACCCAUCACCUGGCAUUGCUAAGCACUGUUACAUGUGGUGUUACUGUCAUGAUUUUCUAAAACUGAAGGACAAGAUCAAUGUUUGAUGACGGGUCAGAGCAUUUGGAAUCAAGACUGUCCUGGAACUAACUGUGUGUGUCAUAAUGUCAUGUUUCUCAUGUGGUACCGGCUCUAUAUGGGUCACUAUGUCUAAACAGGACUCAGUCUCUGCCAGGCUACAUGAAAGGUUUGAUUUUGUCCCUUAUCUGCCUUCCAGUUCAUAGCUUCCUCAAUUGGCUCUUCACCCCAGGAUGAGCCAACCUAGAGAUUUUCUUCUGGAGCUGUCCUUCCCUGGCCCCUCCCUUCCCUCUAUACUGGGCUCCAUUCCUGACCUGAGCCAACCUGAGCUUCGGCUUCUCUUUCCUGGCCCUGCUUCUCUCCUACUCACUUUCUUUCCUGAUUCCUCUCUUCCAUCAGAGCCUGGACCCCUGAGCCCUUCAGCUUGGGUCUCUGUCCUAUCACAGAUUAAAAUCCACAGCUGUCUCUACAAGAGGGCUACUGUGGGUGCAUAUAUGCUUGAGAGGAAGCCCUUCUCCAUUUUAGGGCUAGCUCAUCUGGAGGAGUGGGGUACUCCGGAAACUCACAGGGCAGCCCAUGGCUGGUCUACGCCAGAAAGCAUUCCCUGAAAUGCUAGAUCCCGCUGAUCUCUUCUCCUAACAUUCUGUCAUAGGCUGUGUCUGUGCUAUCCUUGUCAAUUAUUUGUUGAAUUACUCAUUUGACAAAGACUUAUAGAGCUCCUACUACAUGAUGAAUGGGUCCCUCAAUAAACACAGCAAAGUUCCUGCCCUCAUUCAUAUGUUCUUGUGGAGGAGACAGAUAAUAAAAUAAGAAAACAAAUCAUAAAAUUAAGUAUUAAAAAAUAAGUAAGGCAGGAUGGGGGAAUAGAGUGGCAGGACUUGGUGGGGGUAGGAUAGAUAUUUAGAUUAGAAUGAUCAAGAGGUGAUAGCAGACCUAAAAAUGUCGAUCAGAAGCUAACCAUGUGAAGAUCUGUGGGUAGGAGUGUCCCAAAUAGAGCAAACAGUGAGUGCGAAGGCCCCAGGACAGUAACAAGGUUGGCAUGUUGAAGACAUUGCAAAAAGGUCAGUGUGGUCACCACACAACCACAACGGGAGGAGCGAUUAAGAUGCUGGAGACAGUCAGGGUCCAGAUCGUAUAAGGCAGAUUUCCUCCACCCCAGAACUAUCAACAUUUUGGGUCAGAUGAUUUUUUUGUUGCAGGUGCUUGUCCUGUGCAUGUUGUUUUGCUGUGCAUGUUGUUUUGUGCAUGUUGUUACUGGCUGCCAGUAACACCCCUGAAGCCUCCACCACCCCCUUUAUGACCACAGAAAUGAGGUGGUCACAGAUAUUGCCAAAUGUCCCCUAGGAGAAAAAUCACCUUCAUUUAAGAACCACUGAACAAAAGCCAUGGCAAGAUAAUUUCAUUCUACAUAUAAUGGAAAUCCAUGGGAGGCUCAGAGCUGGGAAAAACCAUUGCAAUUUACAUUUUUAAAGGGCACUCUGGCUGCUGUUGGCCUAAAAGAAAAACAACAGCAGAGGCAGGAGAUGCAGGAAGAGGUCUAGAUGAGAGGUGACCCUGGCCCAGAUUAAAGAGGGAGCAGUGGACUAUAAGAAGUGAUUGGAUUCUGACUACAUUUUGAGGGUGAAGCCAACAAACUUGCUGGUGAAUUGGAUAUAAAAGGUGAGAGGGAAGGCAGAAUCAAGUAUGGUUUCUAGAUUACUCUGUGGGAAUAAUUAUGUCAUUAUCUAAAGUAGAGAAGACUAGGAGAAAAGUAGCUUGGGGGUUAAAAAAAAUUCUAAAUUUGAGAUGUCCUUUAGACAUCCAAGUAGACAUGCCAGUAGAAUAUAAGAGUCUGGGGCCCAGGGGAGAGAUCCAGGCUGGAAAUGAACAUCCGGAAGUCGUAGAUCGUAGCUCAUGCCUGGGGAGGAUGAGAUCAUCCAGGAAGAGGGCGAUCUAGAAAGGAAAGCUGAGCUCUAGGGCACACCAUAUUUAGAGGUUCAGAGAAUAAGGAGAAGCCAGCAAACGAGGCCAGGGAGGAGGACUAAUGAGGGAGAAGGGACAUUAGGAGAAGAGACAGGGACAUGUGUAUUCCUGAGGUGUCCUGGCACUGUUGUUACAUCUGCCUUAGACUGAGUAGUUGGGGAGCUCCUCAGGCAUUCGUUUGUGUUCAAUGGUGGUGGCAAUGGUACUGAACUACUAUAAGGUACUAUAUCCAAGUUUUAGACAACCAAACGAUUGAGCAAAAGCCACCUUGGUUAAUCUUUAAGAAAUAAGUGGUACUGAUACCACUUUAUAGCCGAAGAAACUGAAAAUGAGGGCACUAUAGCAACUCGCUUUCCAUCACAUGCACUUUAAGCACGACUCCUGGGACUGGAACCUUGGAAAGCCUGUUUCCACAUUCAUGCUUUUUCUGUGGUGUUCUUGGCCUCUGCCUCACAAGGUUCCGCUCAAUGCCUGGCACAGACCUCCAUUCUGACCAUGGCAGGAAUACCUCAUCUCUGCUCAAGUUUAUGUGAGUGCAUCUACAUCUGCUACUGCGUUUGGAAUGGACCAGGAGGAGCCAGAACUGCUCAAUACCAGGGCAAGUGACUGUCAAGAUCCCUCAUGCAACUAAGGCCAGAACCAGCACGAGCACCUGGAGUUUCACACUCCUGGUCCAGGUUUUCCCAUCUUACCUUCUGUGUCUACAACCAAGAUGUUUCCCCAUCCAUCAACCAUAUCCAGUGCAACAGCCCUAAUAGAUAUGCAGGGGAAGUAGCAUUAUUCUCAUUUUCCAGAUUAAGAAACAGAGGCUCAGAGAGGUUCUGUAAUUUGCCUAAAUUAUACCACUAGUAAGAUUCUGAAUCAGGAAUAAAUUCCUCAUCUCCUAAAUCUAGGUAUUACUGAGCUGAAAUAAUCUAUCCCUGACUUAGCCAUUAGUUUUUAUUUCUUACAUAAUAACUUUCCCAAACCAUAAAAGAAAGAAGAUACAAACAAACUUUUCUAAACACCAGUAUUGCCGGUCAGAAUUCUGUAAUAGGUUCAUAGUCGUUUAAGAAGUCAAAAUGACUGGAAGAUGAACAUUUUGUGCACCAUGUCAACUUAAAAUUAUUAUUUUUUGGCUUAAUCAUAAAGAUGCUUUAAAAAGAACCUUUGAAACAUAUUUGUGUUGCUUUAUGAAGCUCUCUGCUUUCUGACAUCUCCUGCUCUUUUUUGGAAAAGUUCAAAAACAGCACUUGAAAACCCCACCCCCAAAAUAUUUUCUUUCAUUUCCA
This 3660-nucleotide long non-coding RNA is filed under the name Homo sapiens (human). Its description in RNAcentral is "HSALNT0013114". The record is from RNAcentral. Lineage: Eukaryota; Metazoa; Chordata; Mammalia; Primates; Hominidae.